RNAcentral lists this transfer RNA (74 nucleotides) under Bacteroidales bacterium. RNAcentral's name for it is "tRNA-Cys". It matches the Rfam family "tRNA". Rfam says of the family: Transfer RNA (tRNA) molecules are approximately 80 nucleotides in length. Their secondary structure includes four short double-helical elements and three loops (D, anti-codon, and T loops). Lineage: Bacteria; Pseudomonadati; Bacteroidota; Bacteroidia; Bacteroidales. The record is from RNAcentral. RNAcentral also lists the same sequence under 1 other name.
GGUGUCAUGGCCGAGCGGUUAGGCAGAGGUCUGCAAAACCUCGUACAGCGGUUCGAAUCCGCUUGACACCUCCA